Molecule: ribosomal RNA, 253 nt
Filed under: uncultured bacterium
Lineage: Bacteria
Description: partial 16S ribosomal RNA
Rfam family: Bacterial small subunit ribosomal RNA
Source: RNAcentral
UACAGAGGUCCCGAGCGUUGUUCGGAUUCAUUGGGCGUAAAGGGUGCGUAGGCGGCCGCGCAAGUCUGGCGUGAAAGCCCCGGGCUCAGCCCGGGAAGGGCGCUCGAAACGGCGCGGCUCGAGUGCCGGAGGGGAGAGUGGAAUUCCUGGUGUAGCGGUGAAAUGCGUAGAUAUCAGGAGGAAUACCGGUGGCGAAAGCGACUCUCUGGACGGCAACUGACGCUGAGGCACGAAAGCGUGGGGAGCAAACAGG